AUGAAGAGGGUACAGACAGUACUCGACAUGAAUCGCGUUUAAUUUUGGAGGCGGACGCUUUCUUUGGGUGAGGCAAGAGUCCGAACAAGAACAACCGGAAAGUGAUAUAUCCGG
Non-coding RNA from Caenorhabditis elegans, 114 nucleotides. NCBI's taxonomy places the organism in Eukaryota, Metazoa, Nematoda, Chromadorea, Rhabditida, Rhabditidae. The record is from Ensembl.